GACGAACGCUGGCGGCGUGCUUAACACAUGCAAGUCGAACGGAAAGGCCCUGCUUUUGUGGGGUGCUCGAGUGGCGAACGGGUGAGUAACACGUGAGUAACCUGCCCUUGACUUUGGGAUAACUUCAGGAAACUGGGGCUAAUACCGGAUAGGAGCUCCUGCUGCAUGGUGGGGGUUGGAAAGUUUCGGCGGUUGGGGAUGGACUCGCGGCUUAUCAGCUUGUUGGUGGGGUAGUGGCUUACCAAGGCUUUGACGGGUAGCCGGCCUGAGAGGGUGACCGGGCAACUUUGGGAGUGAGACAGGGCCGGAUCCCCUAGGGGGGGAAGAGGGGGGGAAUAUGGAAAAAGGGGGGGAGGCCGGAUGCAGCACCGCCGGGGGGGGGAGGACGCCUUUCGGUUUUAAACCCGCUUCCGCCUGUGAAGAAGGGGGAGGGAGGGUAAGGGGUAAAGAAGCACCGGCAAACUACGUC
This 469-nucleotide ribosomal RNA is filed under the name uncultured bacterium. RNAcentral describes it as "partial 16S ribosomal RNA". It matches the Rfam family "Bacterial small subunit ribosomal RNA", at positions 28 to 507 of the family's 1533-position model. The record is from RNAcentral.